Molecule: ribosomal RNA, 460 nt
Filed under: uncultured bacterium
Lineage: Bacteria
Description: partial 16S ribosomal RNA
Rfam family: Bacterial small subunit ribosomal RNA
Source: RNAcentral
CCUACGGGUGGCUGCAGUGAGGAAUAUUGGUCAAUGGACGAGAGUCUGAACCCGCCAAGUAGCGUGAAGGAUGACUGCCCUAUGGGUUGUCAACUUCUUUUAUAUGGGAAUAAAACAGGGUAUGCAUACCCUCUUGUAUGUAACAUAUGAAUAAGGAUCGGCUAACUCCGUGCCAGCAGCCGCGGUAAUACGGAAGAUCCGAGCGUUAGCCGGAUUUAUUGGGUUUAAAGGGAGCGUAGGUGGAUUGUUAAGUCAGGUGUGAAAGUUUGCGGCUCAACCGUAAAAGUGCAGUUGAAACUGGUAGUCUUGAGUACAGUAGAGGUGGGCGGAAGUCGUGGUGUAGCGGUGAAAUGCUUAGAUAUCACGCAGAACUCCGAUUGCGAAGGCAGCUCACUGGACGGCAACUGACACUGAUGCUCGAAAGUGUGGGUAUCAAACAGGAUUAGAUACCCCUGUAGUC